AUACUUACCUGGCAAGGGAAAUACCAUGGUCAGAAAGGUGGUCUUUCCAGAGCAAGGUUUAUCCAUUGCACUCCAGAUGUGCUGACCCCGGUGAUUUUUCCCAAAAAAGUGGGAAAUGCAACUGCAUCAUUUUUUCACGCUCUCCCCUGGGGGAAA
Pipistrellus kuhlii (Kuhl's pipistrelle) is the source of this 156-nucleotide small nuclear RNA. RefSeq annotates it as U1 spliceosomal RNA. The transcript has a single exon. The record is from RefSeq and is a predicted model, not a curated record. NCBI's taxonomy places the organism in Eukaryota, Metazoa, Chordata, Mammalia, Chiroptera, Vespertilionidae.